UGAUCAUGGCUCAGGAUGAACGCUGGCGGCGUGCCUAACACAUGCAAGUCGAGCGAAGCACUUUGCUUAGAUUCUUCGGAUGAAGAGGAUUGUGACUGAGCGGGCGGGACGGGGUGAGUAACGCGUGGGUAACCUGCCUCAUACAGGGGGGAUAACAGUUAGAAAUGACUGCUAAUACCGCAUAAGACCACAGCACCGCAUGGUGCGGGGGUAAAAACUCCGGUGGU
Molecule: ribosomal RNA, 227 nt
Filed under: uncultured bacterium
Lineage: Bacteria
Description: partial 16S ribosomal RNA
Rfam family: Bacterial small subunit ribosomal RNA
Source: RNAcentral